GAGUUUGAUCCUGGCUCAGGAUGAACGCUAGCGGAACGCCUAACACAUGCAAGUCGAACGGAUUCUGCGUUGUAGCAAUACAUAGUAGAAUUAGUGGCAAACGAGCGAGUAACGCGUGCCUAACCUGCCCUUAAGAUGGGAACAACUACGGAGACGUAGCUAAAUCCCAAUAUGCUCACGAUGGUGAAAUGCCGAUGCGAGGAAAGAUUUAUCGCUUAAGGAGGGGGGCGCGUCCUAUCAGGUAGUUGGUUGAGGUAACGGCUCACCAAGCCUAUGACAGGUAGCUGGUCUGAGAUGAUGUCCAGCCGCGAUGGGACUGAGAUACGGCCCAUACUCCUACGGGAGGCAGCAGUGGGGAAUCUUGCACAAUGGACGAAAGUCUGAUGCAGCGAUCCCGCGUGAAGGAUGAAGCAUUACGGUGUGUAAACUUCUUUUUUGGUGGAAGACGAAUGACGGUACACCAAGAAUAAGAGACGGCUAACUACGUGCCAGCAGCCGCGGUAAUACGUAGGUCUCAAGCGUUAUCCGGAUUUACUGGGCGUAAAGUAUCCGUAGCCUGAUAUGUAAGUCUGUUUUCAAAUCCCACGACUCAAUCGUGGAAAGGGAAUGGAUACUGCAUAUCUAGAAGUUAUUGGGGGUUAGUGGAAUUUCCGGUGGAGCGGUGAAAUGCGUUGAUAUCGGAAAGAACGCCGAAAGCGAAAGCAGCUAACUAUGAUUAACUUGACGGUGAGGGAUGAAAGUUUGGGUAGCAAACGGGAUUAGAUACCCCGGUAGUCCAAACUGUAAAUUAUGCUUGCUAGGUGUUUCGAUCCUUGUGGUCGGAGUGCCGUAAUCUAACGAGUUAAGCAAGUCGCCUGGGUAGUAUAUUCGUGAAGAAUGAAACUCGACGGGAUAGGCGGGGGUAC
This 905-nucleotide ribosomal RNA is filed under the name uncultured candidate division SR1 bacterium. Its description in RNAcentral is "bacterial SSU rRNA". It matches the Rfam family "Bacterial small subunit ribosomal RNA", at positions 9 to 922 of the family's 1533-position model. The record is from RNAcentral. Lineage: Bacteria; Candidatus Absconditibacteriota.